GUUUUCGUUUACCUUAUCCUUCCAAACAUAUGCUCGGGGAAGUUUACUGCGACAAAAUGGCUCAAACAACGAUUACGUCGAUCUAUAUCUUACGUCUGGGACAUUAAGCCACGCUUCAGGAAGUUAUAACGGCCAAGUAUACGUUGACGUUAUAGUCUAGAAGUGGAAUUGCCAGUUUGGAAAAUUCUGUAAACGUUGGUCAAGAAUGUACGAUACGUGAUGUGGUUUUCACAAAAUAAUGCAUGGAUCGAAAAGCUUAAUACAACAUUGUCUAUUAACCUAUGUUCGCUAGCAAGAGCUGAAUUUUUAAGCAAAA
Molecule: non-coding RNA, 316 nt
Organism: Paramuricea clavata
Lineage: Eukaryota; Metazoa; Cnidaria; Anthozoa; Malacalcyonacea; Plexauridae
Source: the annotation of a GenBank genome assembly